Molecule: ribosomal RNA, 625 nt
Filed under: uncultured Actinomycetes bacterium
Lineage: Bacteria; Bacillati; Actinomycetota; Actinomycetes
Description: bacterial SSU rRNA
Rfam family: Bacterial small subunit ribosomal RNA
Source: RNAcentral
AGGGACGAAGGUUCACCGGUUAAUAGCCGUGUGGAUUGACGGUACCUCCACAAGAAGGUCCGGCUAACUACGUGCCAGCAGCCGCGGUAAUACGUAGGGACCAAGCGUUGUCCGGAAUCAUUGGGCGUAAAGAGCGCGUAGGUGGCCACAUAAGUCCGUUGUGAAAGUCAAAGGCUCAACCUUUGAAAGCCGAUGGAUACUGUGUGGCUAGAGUACGGAAGAGGCGAGUGGAAUUCCUGGUGUAGCGGAGGAAUGCGCAGAUAUCAGGAGGAACACCAAUAGCGAAGGCAGCUCGCUGGGACGUUACUGACACUGAGGCGCGAAAGCGUGGGGAGCGAACAGGAUUAGAUACCCUGGUAGUCCACGCCGUAAACGAUGGAUACUAGGUGUGGGAGGUGUCGACUCCUCCCGUGCCGUCGCUAACGCACUAAGUAUCCCGCCUGGGGAGUACGGCCGCAAGGCUAAAACUCAAAGGAAUUGACGGGGGCCCGCACAAGCAGCGGAGCAUGUGGUUUAAUUCGACGCAACGCGAAGAACCUUACCUGGGCUUGACAUGUUGGUGACCGCCGUGGAAACACGGUUUUCCUUCGGGRCACCAUCACAGGUGGUGCAUGGCUUCGUCAGC